AGUGAACGCUGGCGGUAGGCCUAACACAUGCAAGUCGAACGGCAGCACAGUAAUAGCUUGCUGUUACGGGUGUCGAGUGGCGGACGGGUGAGUAAUGCAUCGGAAUCUACUGGUUCGUGUGGGAUAACGUAGGGAAACUUACGCGAAUACCGCAUACGACCUACGGGUGAAAGCAGGGGAUCUUCUGACCUUGCGCGAUUGGAUGUGCCGAUGUCGGAUUAGCUAGUUUGCGCGGUAAAGGCCCACCAAGGCGACGAUCCGAAGCUGGCCUCAGAGGAAGGACAGCCAGAUUGGAAGAGAGACAGGGCACAGACUCCGAGGGGAGGACGCAGUGCGGACUCUUGCACAAUGGAGGAGAGGCGGAUCCAGCCCAACCGGGUGGGUCAAGAAGGAGUUAGGGUUGUAAAGCCAUGUUGUUGGGAAAGAAAAGCAGCACGUUAACCCCCCGCUGUAAUGACGGUACCCAAAGAAUAAGCACCGGCUAACUUCGUG
This 492-nucleotide ribosomal RNA is filed under the name uncultured bacterium. RNAcentral's name for it is "partial 16S ribosomal RNA". It matches the Rfam family "Bacterial small subunit ribosomal RNA", at positions 29 to 507 of the family's 1533-position model. The record is from RNAcentral.